GAUGAACGCUGGCGGCGUGCCUAAUACAUGCAAGUCGAGCGAACAGACGAGGAGCUUGCUCCUCUGACGUUAGCGGCGGACGGGUGAGUAACACGUGGAUAACCUACCUAUAAGACUGGGAUAACUUCGGGAAACCGGAGCUAAUACCGGAUAAUAUAUUGAACCGCAUGGUUCAAUAGUGAAAGACGGUGUUGCUGUCACUUAUAGAUGGAUCCGCGCCGCAUUAGCGAGUUGGUAAGGUAACGGCUUACCAAGGCUACGAUGCGUAGCCGACCUGAGAGCGUCAUCGGCCACACCUUAACUCAGCCACGAUCCAGACUCCUACGGUACGCACCAGUACGGUAUCUUCCGCAAUGGGCGCGCGCCUGACGGCGCCACGCCGCGUGAGUGAUAGCGGUCUUCGGAUCGUAAAGCUCUGUUAUUAGGGUUGAACAAAUGUGUACGUCACUAUGCACUUCUUGACGGUACCUAAUCAGAUAGCCACGGCUAACUACUUG
Molecule: ribosomal RNA, 497 nt
Filed under: uncultured bacterium
Lineage: Bacteria
Description: partial 16S ribosomal RNA
Rfam family: Bacterial small subunit ribosomal RNA
Source: RNAcentral